GCCAGCCAUAGCUCCAAGAAUACGCGGAGGAGGUGGCCCGGGUCGGCGUCGGCGCAGUCCGGCGCGGGCCACGGGCCCGCUUCCAAGUGCGUCUACGCGCCGGCCACCCAUGCGGGGUCCUUCAAGUGUCGCUUCCACCGCACCAACUCACAGGGCCACGGCCACGGCCAGGGCCAGUGAAGCCGCCAUUCUUCGCCCCCUUCACCGGUCGUGGCCAACGCGGUGCCGCGGCACCCGGCCUCGCCGUCCUCAUCCUCACGUACCGUCGCGACCCAGUGA
RNAcentral lists this ribosomal RNA (279 nucleotides) under Triticum aestivum (bread wheat). Its description in RNAcentral is "partial small subunit ribosomal RNA". Lineage: Eukaryota; Viridiplantae; Streptophyta; Magnoliopsida; Poales; Poaceae. The record is from RNAcentral.